UUUCAAUUUAAGAUUUUCAGAAUGGAACAGUUCCAAGCCGUGGCCAUGGAAAUAGGUGGCUGGGAAUGAGUGGAGGUCAAGGUCAUUAUUGUUGAAGAGGUCAGGGAACUGUGAGACUAAGUUAUUGCUUAGGCUAGUUAUCUGCUUGGAUAUGGAUGUCAGUCAAGAUGAUGACAGCAUUUGGCAUACAGAGGAAAACUGUGAGCUUAGUGACCAGCAGUCAGCUGGUGAUGGAGAUGAGAAGUAAAAUAAUAGUAUAGUCAAACGGCAUUAGCCUCAAGGGAACA
Molecule: long non-coding RNA, 287 nt
Filed under: Homo sapiens (human)
Lineage: Eukaryota; Metazoa; Chordata; Mammalia; Primates; Hominidae
Description: HSALNT0177116
Source: RNAcentral